Non-coding RNA from Xyrichtys novacula (pearly razorfish), 31998 nucleotides. The record is from the annotation of a GenBank genome assembly. NCBI's taxonomy places the organism in Eukaryota, Metazoa, Chordata, Actinopteri, Labriformes, Labridae.
CCAGAAUUCUCCUUAAAUAAUCAACAUUUCUCUUCCUCCUCCUCCUCCUCCUCAUCAUCAUCAUCAUCUACCCCUCACUCAUGGCUGGUAGGACCAACUGAACUUUUCCCUUUAUAGAUAUAUGAUAUUUGAUGAUUUAUAUGAUAAAUCUUAAUGAUUUUAAAACCAAACUGAAAAUGUACCUUUUCAGUUUUGCUUUUCACUAAUUUUAUAUCAUUAACUUGAAGUGUUUUAACAUUUAUCUCUUCUAGUUUUAAUGACAGGAUCAUCUUUUAUUGAGCUAUCUUGGUGCUCUUAUUUUGAUAUCUUUUGCUGUUGUUUUUAUGUCAUUUUAUUUAUUAUUUCUUAAAUUUCAUUCCAUGUUACUUUGUUUUUAGAUUUUAAACCUUCAGUGUUUCCUUAUCUUGAGUUUUAAAAUGGCGUCUCCUCAGUGCGCUCUGUCCACUUAUCUGUUUCUGUGAAAUCGAGCCCUUUUUAAGUUCAUGCAUUUAAUAAACGUUUCUGUUGUGGUGGGAAUGGAGGGUUGAGUUGGCGUGGAUCAGAGUAUUCUUUGUUUCUUUUAUUCCUCUGCUGUGUAAAUCACUUUGUUCUACAACGUUUUGUAUGAAAAGUGCUACAUAAAUGAAGAUUGAUUGAUUGAUUGAUAUAAAUUGACUUUUAGAGAACAAAAAAGGGACUCCAAGGACUCUUGGUACUUUUUUCUUUUGUUUGUGGACUGGACAUAAACACAGAGUUUUAAAGGAAAAAAAUCCUAGACACACAAAUUAAAUCAUCACAACAACCAACAAUGACAAGGAGUCAUCAUUGUUGGUUGUUGUGAUUAUCUAAUUUGUGUGUUUUUAAUUUUCCAAUACAAUAAUUUUGAGUAACUUUAUCUGAGUCUCCUGAAUUUGAAUAUUGACAUCAGUUCAUUUCUUCAUUUAGCAUCAUUAUAACUAUGACACUCUAAUGUCACAGAUGAACCUGUACUGCACAUAGUUUUAACUAAAGUUUAGGAGUAAAAUUAGGAUCUGAAGAUAUCAGUUCUUGAUUGACAUAUUUAUUUUAGUGGUUAGAGUCAGAAAUGAUUGUAGCAAUCGCCGUGACAACAGGAAAAAACCACCUGUACGCAGUUUAAGUGCGGUCAUUGGCUAACCUCCUCCUCCCCCUGUCUUGUCGUUUCGUGUGUACUUCCCCGUCCUAACAGGAGCUGGCAGCUAAACAGUAAAUCCUUCUGCAGCACACCGUCACAUCUGGGAGUCUGAUUAAGAAAUGCACCUGCAGGCGAGACGGUCGGAGUGGAGAGAGAGAAGAGGAAAUAUUCCCAAAGACGAUCAGGGACGCCUUAAAGAGACUGAUUUAUCGGUAAGAGAAAAACAGAAAAAACAGAAAAACAGAGAACUUACCUUUGUAUUGGCUUACUAAGAUUUCUGCUUCUUCCCCCUUAAAUCCACAACAUGAAAUUUACUUGUAUGCAUAUUUGGAUUAAGAGAUGGCUGUCAGCCUUUAGUAAAGUUACUUCAUCAGCUGUGAGUUUGAACAAGGACUUGCAUGACUCGAAGGAGCAGCUUUUCAUCUCCGAGUCGCUCAUAAAUGAUCUCAAAGAUCAAUACUGAUCGUCACAUGAUGAAUGUCUGGGAUGAAAAACUGAAUAACUUGAAGGAGCUUGUAGCUUUAUCAUGAGAAAAUCAGCUCUUUGUGCUGCAGCGUUAACUCAGCGAGGAGGACAUGAUCAUCGGUUCUUAAAGGAAACAGUCAGACAUCUCCAGACUUGGACAUUGUUGGGAGUUUAAAUGUUAAAUGUUGUAUCCGGAACCAUGUAGUGUCCUGUUGAUCCAUUUGGCAAUAGCAGUGUGAAGAAACCCAGCAUGCACCCGCCUCAUACUUAAAGCAACAUCAUCUGUGGUCAUGAACAAACCAUCAGACUCAUUCAGACUAAAUUUUGCAUCUUAAAGUAAGAGAUUUGUCUGAUAUAUUUUUGACAUUAUAAAAUAAGAGUUUCCCUUGCAUUGCUGCACAUGAUUAAGUUAACAUUAUCAAGUUUUAAGUCCACGGCUCCACUGAUGGUCAAACUUGGAUCAAAUAAAAAUGUGAACAGCGUUUCGUUCUCCUGUUUUAUUUCCACAAAUGUGUCAGACCUCCGCCGGCCUCCGUCACAACUCCAGCUUUAUUAGGCUGAAUGAUACGUCAAGGUCGGGGACCACAUAAAGAAAAAGAGCAGAGUGACUCAUAACUGGAGUGGAUCUGACUUUUAAAGGUCGGCAUUAGCUUCCUCUAAUCCUCAUUGAAUACUAAGUACCGAACAAAACUCUCCACUCUUCAGUUCUGAAACUUUUCACAGUUUUGUGACAAAAACCACAAAGUCUGAUUCAAACCUUAGAAAUCUUAGAAACCUCAGAAAUUUGCCAAAAAAUACAACUGGACAAGAUCAACAAAGUGAUACUGUACAUGUUUGCCCACAGAGUAGAGGUUGAAAUCGAUAACCAUGUCCAUUAAAUACCUGUUAGAGCAUUUUUUAAAGUCUGAAAAUCAGUAACAUUUGAGCUUAUCCAGUCUGCAGUCAGGUCUCAAGGGUCCAUGAAGUGAAGUUAUAGUUAUUAAUACAUUAAUAGACUGUCUGAUUAAGCGUGUGAACAGCAAAUAGUUAUAAAAGUAAACAACAAAGAAAUUGCAAUAAUGGCUGAGGGGGUCAAAAGUGUGGUUACAUGGUACCGAAGCAGAAGAAAUGCAUUUUACACACAUCAGCACUGUCCACCACACGCCUGGGGUUUCAAGACAACCGUGGGUCACUAUUUAGUAAAUAAAGAUGAGUGUUGGUUCAACUGAAAAGACUUCAGUCCAAAAACAACCGCUGCCUUAAGGAGAAGAUGGUGUGACUGUGGGUGAAGAGGUUGUUGCUCAGUGGGAAAAAAAGGUGCUGCUGCAAAGAAGCUAAAUACAAAGUCCACUGACUGCAGAAACUUGAUCAGGAUGAUGCUUGAAACUGCUUUUCCCAAGACUUUAGAACAGCAUCUCAUAUAUGUGGGUGAAUUUAUAGAGCAGUUUAAAACUUUUGGUCCGUGUCUGUUCUGAACGAAGUCGUCUUUGCUGAUUUAAAGUUGGUGUUUUUGAGAAAAUCAUCUUAUCUACUUUAACACUCCCCUCCAGUGGUUUUAGAUGGUUAAAAUUACUAAGCGGAGACUAGAAAACCGUCUCUCCUCCUUUUUUAGAUCAUUAUGAAACAUAAAUAUUGACUUCAGUGUGUUUUAUAACCAGCCCAAAAAUGACUCACAGGAACUUUAAACCUAAAAGCCUUUUUAAACUCUGUUUGUGCAUUAAUACUCUCAUUGUGUUCAGCAAUGUGCAGUUUUGAUGCAGACGCGUUUCUCCAUAUAUUACAAACUGCUCUUGCCACCACCCCAGCUACUCAUGCAGUAUUGAGACCUAGCUCGAAGUAGCAUUACUGGUUGUGAGGUACAGAUGGACACUUGUCCCGCCCACCUCUGCUGGACGCUUGUCUUGAAUUGAGGCGUGUUUUUCCAAAUCAAACCAGCUCUAUAAAAGUGUCCAACCAUUUCAAAAACGAAAUAAAAAGUGUUUUUGCUUGACUAGCCCGUCUCACUAUGCACUGAAGUGGCCACUUGUGUCUCAGAGUGCCAUCUUCUGGGUAAGAUACUGCACUGCAAUUAAAAAUCUCUGUAUUUUUAACCACUCUGUUGGUUUCAUCAGUGUACGGGAUCUAGCUCACUUUCUCUGUGACUAAAAUGGUAAGAACUUUCACAAUAAUAUACUUUUUGUCUGUAUUUUUUAAUUUUAUUUGUGAGUAUUUGGGUUACAGUCGCUGAAAGGAUUGAUCGAGGGCAGAAAAAAAUUAGCCUCCAUCCAGUUUUAUCGAGCCCGGACACCCUGCGAAGGAAACCCAUUUUGGCCGCUUGUAUCCGCGAUCUUGUUCUUUUGGUCAUUACCCAAAGUUCACGGCCAUAGGUGAGGAUUGGCAUGUAGAUCGACCAGUAAAUCAAGAGUGGACUUAGAGGUGCUGAUUCGCAUCCCAGCGGCUUCACACUCGGCCGCGAACUGGCCCAGCAAGAGCUGAAGGUCACUGCUCGACGAAGCUAGAAGUACCACAUCAUCCGCAAAAAGCAGCGAUGCGAUCCUCUGCCUGCUGAACUGGACACCCUUCAACCCCCGGCUGCGUAGUGUUUGUUUUGAGUUAAACAUUGCAGCAGAUAUUGUUGCUCAGAUUCGUGUUUGUGUCUCUGUUGUGAAGUUUUUUCCUGACUCUUCCUCAGACAGGAAAAAAACGGUAUUAGCUCGGUGUUCUUGUUAAUUUGUGUUGCUGUUUGACCUUGAAAACGCCAGGUUGGUGGCCUGCUCUUAUUGAACACCUUACCGCGGCCGAGGUGCCAGCUGGUGGCGACAGAUUUGAGAAAUGAAAGGCUGAGGCGGCGCAGGCAGACCUCCGCUCUGUUUAUCUGGAGCAGAUGGCAAAGACACGAUAAGAAUUUGUAAUCCACCGUUAUUACCACCUCUGCUGCGAGCGUCGUUGCUGCUGCUUUGACAAACAUUAAAAUCCUUGCUGAAGGUUUGUUUUCUCUGUUCUUACACAAGCUGGGAUCUUUGUUGAUAGUAGGAUGUUAGAAAAUGCCCUUGGAUGCAGGUAAGUAGUGGAGGAGAGAAGGUAAAUAAAGGCCUCUGUGGUUUAAACACUAUCAGGACCAAACUGCACAACAAACAGGGACUAAUUAGUGAUAUGAAAGUCGGUCUAUCAUGCACUUAGAACUGUUCUUUGCAUGAGGGACACUCUCUGAGGACGUGUGUGUGUUAAUAUGGCUGUGGGUGUUAGUAAUAAUGAUAUCCCCGCCUCUUAUUAUCAUCCUGGGUUUGAACUUUUAGCACAUAAUAACUCUGUGGUGGAGCGUCUGAGCUGUUUUGCAGUUUUGUUGGGUAUAAAAUGGUCAAUCUGAAAGCCGGUUUAACUCGGCAAUCAUUUCAGCCGAGGCUGAGGAGGAAAGUAAGAAAGUAUAUCCACUCCAGUGCAGACCUGCACUUUGUCUUUGAGGUGCUUCUAUAUUAACACAGUAUUUCACCUGCUCUGCUAUAUUUCAGGAUAAUACCACACUGACCUAAAUUGCAGACUCGGGCUCAGUCCCAUCUCUCAUUUUUACCCCUCUACCGCUCAUUUUCGAGGGCUGCUUUGCCUCUUGAAAUGGAGCGGCAAGAAAGAUAGGGAGACUUUUUUUCCUCUGCAAAAUAGGACCAACCAUUUAGGACCUUGUUAAAUCAUCAAUAGCCCUGAAACUAACAGGCAGAUAAAACCAAGGCUGGAAAUUAUCAGCAGAAUUUUACAAUAUUUCACUGUAAUAUUUUACUUUUAAUGAAUGUAUCAUCACUUUACAGGAUUUAACCGUAAUGUUAACAGUAUAAUACUGUAAUUUUGAAUUUUAAUGUGAAAUCAAUACAGGAACAGUAAAUUACUCUGAAAUACUUACAGUAAAUCACCAGGAAAUCACUGAGAAAGUGGUGGAACUAGUCGUCUGUAAUUUACAGUAAAUUUACAGCCAAAAAGAACAACAUUUGUAGGUAGGCACAUCUGAUUUGAUCUCAUGUAAAGACAUUUCUCAUCUUUGAUUCCACUUUGAACACAACAACUCAAUAAUAACCCACUCAGAGUCAUAAUAAUAAUGCAGUAUCCUUUAAUUUGUGCUAAUGACAUCGACUACAUUAUGAUAUAAUAGAUUUUUAGGUGAAGUCUUCUUCAUGGAAAAAAACAACAGUACCCUUUUUUGAGGUCACCAGAAUCAACUCUGCAUGAAAGCCCCUCUAAUUUCUAAUUAUUUAAGUAAAAGUGACAUCUAACCAAAGUGAACAGACUAUAUUCACAAAUAAACCACCCAGAGGAGGAACCAACGCAAGAACAGCACCCUCUGGUGACGGGCUGCAGUAUAGAUCAUAAAUCCCGCCUCCUCCGGUAAUCCCUAUGGAGCUGUGGACAAACUUUAUACAUUAAUGACACAGAAUAUAAAUGUUUCUCCCCCCUGCUUGUGAUGUUGACAUGUAGUUACUGUCAGACUGGUUUGUGAUCAAGUCCUCUUUUUUUCCGUACAGCUCCAUUUUUAAAAGUUCUUAGGGGGUUCAAGUUUUCUAUGAUUGACACCUGAUACAGCCUAUUGGCGUACGAAGGUUGCGUAGCUCACCCGAGGGGAUACGCUGUUUGAGCCGAGCGUAAUCACAGCGACUCACCCGCCGAAUGCGUACAAUGGUACUGCGCAAGUGGUGGCUCCAGGAAGUGGAGAAAAUUCUGGAAAUACUGAGAGCAAUAAUGACUGAAGGCGGAGCCAAGUUGUCCAUAAUAUAGUCUAUGGGUGGUGCUGUUGUCAUGAUAACAGGGACUUUUGAGCUUUCUGUCCCUCACAAAUGCUGCAGACUCAGUCUCAGUCACUCUCACCGAGCAUGGCUGUUAGCACUGAUGUUUGUGAAAUAGUCAUUUUUGGAAUGAGGUUCAUUUGCAUAAUGGCUUAUGUAAAUAUGCACAAUAGCAGCCAUGCCCCAGGAUACUAUUUGUUUUACUUAGCAGCUUUCGGUGCAUAUAACUCUUUGCAUAUACUUUGUGAAUUAGAUGCUUUUUGUUUAAUAUGCACAGGUUUUCCAUGUGCAAAGCUGCAUAAACCUCAAUGAAUCAGGUCUUGAGAGGAAUGUCUGUCGGCAGCAGGUGUUCAACCGGGACCCGGAGCAGGUGGCUUGAAAAGGUGGAGGAAAUAUCUCAGUGGGACAGGUGGAAGAUGGUAUGGGAUGUUGGAAAAACUGGUUCAAAACAGAAGAGGCAGAGGAGAUGACACAGUGGCCUGAAAACAUCUCUCAAAGUCUCUCAAAUUCAAAGAAAAGAAGAGAUCAGCAAUACUACGCAGCUACAACACAGACUGGACCACCGUGGGAAAGGGGAACACUCCCCGCAUAUGUCGGACUCUUUUAUUCAGUCAUCGCUGUCAGUCUCUGUGAAGAAAAAUCAAGAUGAAGAUAAAGAGAAAUCAUCGCUGAGGUUAUUGAAAAGUAUCCUGGGAGAUCCUCACUAGAAGAAGCAGAAGAAAGGGUGCUCAUCAAAUAAUCGGUGUGCUCGUCAGCUCAGGAUGGAUACACACUCCAGUGUAAGAGACUCUCCUGCAGGUUUUAUCUUUGCUCUGAAUUCAGAGAUCAGCCACGACCUCCCCUGUUACAUUUACCUUCGCUGAAACCCUCCCUGUCACUCAAGGGACCAUGAUGUAAGAGGAGAGUAAGACCCGAAACGAACAAAUAUUGACGGAGAUGCUUGAGAGUAUAAAGGCAGGAGGCUGAUUUAGAUGAUGGUUUUGUUUCAGAAAAGCACCUUUAACAUAAACAGAUGCUGUUAAAGACAUCAGGAGGUUUUCUUUCUUUGUCAAAAGUACUAAUUUACUACCAUAAAAGCAUAAUCAUCGUGGAUUUAACAAAAGUCCUUCCAAAAACACCUGUUAGUGGUCACCUAUGAACUAGUGUAUGGAAAAGCUAAUCUACAUUUUUCAGAGUGAGUGGGAAAUUGGCCAGUGAGGGUAAAGCUGCAGCUGUUACCUUCAUGUUUUCUCUUCUUUUAUCGGCUGUAACUUUCCGUUUCAUCGAUGAAACGUAUAAAACAAGGCCAAAAAUGUUUAUACUGCCCCACAGAAGCACAUUUAUCAAUAUUAUCACGGUAUUGCCGAAAUAUGUUCAAAAUGUAUAAAAAGUACUUAUACUCGCCCUGAAAUCAUUUAACAAGGUUUUAUUUUGAAAAAACAAUCAAAAUAACACAUAGAAUGAACGUUUCCUUAACCUUAAAUGACAGAGGAGAGAUACGCUUAAAAAAUGAAAGAUGGGGCCUUUUAAGAGCCAGAGGUCAUCAACACUGGUACUUUGUACUUUGUAAAAACAAAGUACAAUGUGCCAGUGGCAUAAAAAUUAACAUAAUAACAAAUAAAUAAAAUUUAUAUAAACUGACAUCCUUUAUUGUGCAAACUGUAAGAAUCUUUAGUGCUCAAAAAGAUGGACUCUAAUAAAUAUAGAACAGAGCGACACGAUUAUAUGAAACAAAACAACCACAUGUAAACAAAUGUGAAGUGCAGGAGUUUAAAAUAACAUCAAAUAUGUAAACUAAUCAAAUGAAGCGAUUGUCCGUUUUCUUCACCAUAAGGUGCUGCUGCUGACUUUGUUCACUACUUGAGAUUGAAAUGUAAAAAUGGCUGCAGAUUUACUUUGUCUGGUUUAAGUCGUGAUCUGCGAGGGGAAAUGAUGUGUGCGCUGGAACUGAAUAGCCUCUUGGAUGACAUGCUGGUUGCUGGGAUGCGCAAAAGCUUCCUGGCAACCCUUGCGACCCUUUGUAAAAGCCGAAAUACGCCCAGACUUCGGACUUUGUUUUCUUUGACAGCGGAAAAAUCUCUGCAACACUGUUGGCAACCUGUGUCCGAAGGACUGCUGUGUGCGGCUGCUCUUUUCAGCACUGAGCAAUCUUUGAGCGUUUCCAGAGUGUGGCAAUCAAACACGGUUUUAACGGUAAUUGAAAUUUGAAACGGUAGUACUAACUGUCAGGCAUUUUACCGCGGUUUAUCAUUUUACCGGUAAUUGAUACAUCCCUACACUGUCGGAUGUCUGAUCUAAGAGAGUGCGAGGCAGGACAAGAUCUUGAGUUUGGUUGUGUGAGGUAGUGGCAUCUGUAAUUAAGCUAUUUUUGUUAAAGUCCAGUUAAAUAUUGUUGAAGCAGGUGUUUUGUUUUUGCUCUAUGUGGAACAUUUUUAGUGUUUUAUUUUGCAUCAGACCACCUGUUUGUUUGUGCAGUUUUUCGCGGCUGUGUCUAUGUAAACAGCAUGCUAGUGUUCCUGUGUCAGGUUGGUUUAUUUUGGUCUCUUUUGAAGUCUGCAGACCCAAACAGCUGAUUGGCAAAAAAAAUCACUUAAAUGUUGGAUCCAGAAAUUGUGCAAGAAUAAAACUCUGGGGUUUGAGUUUCGUAGAAUUAGCUAAAUUUCAUGGUGGAGUUGAUCAAGUGGGGUUGUCAUGUGCCGCUUCUCUGGUCGGUAUCCCUUACACUGCCUGACAAGUAUGUCAUGAAACACUGCUUAAAAUACGGACUGUCCCUUUAAUGAUACAGAUUACAACAGUUAAGUGUGUAGAUAUCAAAGGUAGCCAACAUUAAUCACCAAAAAGAUGAGAAAUCCUGGUCUGAAGCAGGUACCUGAGGCUGACUGAGUCAUCUGAGGAGCAGAUUAGACAGCCGUCCAUCACACGGAGAGGAGAGGAAACAGCCUGAGCCUCAAUCUUUAAGGCACGGUUUCAAAGGUCAGAGGGAUUUGUGAUGUGAUCGCCCUGACAGCCUUUCCACAAAUGAUGUCACCCUCCACCACCUCUGCUUCGACUUCUUCCUCCACUGCUGUCCGUCCGCUCACUGCAUCAAAGACUCUCUCUAAAGGACCGGUUUCAGCUGCCCACUGGUGUGUGAAGACUCAAUCAACUUUAUUAAUCGCUAUUUUCUCUCCAAAGGUCUUGAACUUUCUCUCUGGCUUAAAACCCCUUUCCUCCUCUUUCAGUCUCAGAUUUGUUAUGACUUCUCCAGUAGAGCAGUUUUUCCAGACUAUCUAAUCCUUCAACAGCUGAUUUUAAACUGAAUUCAAAGACGUUUUGAUCAUUUGGUUCUCCAGAUCGCUGCAGGACUUUAUAUUAGGACCUGUUUUGGCGAAUGUUAGGAUUUUAAUGAGUCUGUCCACCAAAUUGAUUUUAAUUUCUAUAACUUUGAUAAAACACACCCGUGUGUGUCUGAAUACUCAUUUACCCUGCCAACAGAGGACUUUGGUUUUAUUCGUAAGUGACCAAGUGGGGACCAAUCAGAGCAGAAGGGUUUGGGGGACUCUUAUCGGUUGUGUUUUCAUCUAUUUCAAACCAUGAUCAUCUCUGGUGAUUAUUCUUUCAUAAUCAAUGGAUCUUAACUGGUGUAAAAGUUUAAUUUGUGUGUGUUUACUCACCAACGUACACAACAGAGGACUUUGGUUUCGUUGCCAAGUCAACAACAGGGGACCAACAUUAAGUGGACGUUUUGGUGGACUGUGGUUGGUCGUUCUUUUGGUGAUGCUGAGGGUAAGAUGAGAGUUUUUAGUGUUUUUUUUAACAUCAGUGGUAAAUAAUAUGGCUCUAUUUGUUUUCUCAGCAUUUUGAUUUAAAAAAAAAAAGCACCCUUGCAUCGUAAAGUUUCCUCUUUUGUUGAUGAUACUAUUCUUCUUUCACAGCGUAAAUGGGAUUUUAAUGUGUUUACUUAUUCUGUGAAACAUAUUGUUGCAUUUGCAUAACAAAUAAAGGAGUAAUUGUUUUGAUUUAUUAAGAAAAAUGUGAAUUUUGCCUCCUUAUUGUUGAUCUCUCAUACAAGUUGUGAAGUAUUAACCCAAUUUACCCAAAUGAAAGCAAACAAGAACACUGACGAAAAACUAGCAAUUGUUCGUUUAAUUUUUUAAUGGUAGUAGCAGUAAGAGGUCAUAGGUGUCAGACAAGACCAUCUGUACACUGAAGGAACUGCAAUUAAUCACAAUAAAAAGGGUAAGAUGGAGUAAUACGGAGUUAGAUGUUCUUGCAAACAAGCACCAAGCAGACGUAAACUGAUAGCCUGUCUCUUAGGGGUGUGCAUGAUACGAGUAAACGACUGCCACAUGCACCUCAAUUUUCAGAGAUCUAAAACUGAAAAAGAAAAACCUACUUACUCAAAAAUAUUCACAUGAGCUCAGACGCUGACUGAGGAGUCUUAAGGAACUACAGGAAAGUAGUUCCCGCCUCUUUGUUUAAAAAAGUACUCUGUCAGUUGCUGUACUUUCUCACUGACCUGUGCGUACAUGCUGUUGUUCGUCCCCAGAGUUUGAUUCUUGAAGGUCGUAAAUUAAGAGGGAUCCACUGAGUUCAGUGAGAAACGCCGCCGUCACUUCCAUCUCUUUGGAAACGGAGAACAUUUGCGUCCUGCUGGCGCAGUCAUGCAGCAGUAAAGAGUGCUGCAUCGGGCUGGAAGCAGUAAAUUAACUUCUCCCUUUCUCCUCCAUAACCGCUCUGCAUCCUGUUUACCAAGUGUUCCUCUCGGCUUUGAGCUACGGCCUUUGGCUCCUGGUGUAAUGUACAGUAUCAAAUUGCUUCUCUUAAAGGAGCAAUCAUGCAGCACUCCAGGGGAUGCCGAGCAAAGUAAUUGAACAUUCGCCGGUAAGCCGUUGACGUACAGUGUGACACCUCUGGGCUCUGACCGCUGGGUGUUUCAGUUUGCUUUUGCCUGGGUCAUAAAUAUGUGAACGGCCUUGAAUCCCAGCUGGGAACCACUGGGAACACUGGAGGCGAAUGACAGACACUUCCUCCCCUCCCCCAUACUCAGGACAGAUUUACUGAGGGCUCUCUCCAGGUGUAAAUGAACUGAAUCCUUAAAGGAGCCCAGAGGGUGAAUUUUGAUGCACAUCUCCACCGGAGAAAAUGUCAGACCCUGCUGAAAACCCCUCUCAUUCAGGCAGUACAGUAUCUCAAUGCUGACAGUAAGUAUUGAAUGGGUUUCCCAUCUUCUCUCUCCAUAUUCUCCCACCCAUCUACCUCAUACCUGUGAAUAGAAAUGAGGUGAAGGCAUCUGCAGGACUAACAUAACAUUUGACAGCAGGACACCCUCCUCUCGGUCAGAUCCCUGCAUCAUGGCUGCACUUAAACACGCAGAUCACCAACCGUGCUGAACUGUAAUUGCCAUUCAGCAAAUAUCUGAGAGUGUGGGGCUGCGGCGUGCACGCUCAUAAACCCCCUCGCUGGAAUAUCUGCUCCUACGCAUGAGGGUAUUACUCACCACGCUGUUAUUGUUCGCAAAUAAAACCAAAGAGUAAUAAAGGAGGUCCUUUAAAAAUUCAUGUGAGCUGAAUGAGCUGGAUGCUAAGCGCUGUGGGUGGCGGAGCGUGAGCGGCGUAUUUGUGUGUGUGUGUGCGUGUUUGAUGGGGGAGUAAGUAUGAAGCUUUAUUCUAAAUUAUUCUGGUCAUUAAGCUGCAUCAGCGUCUGUGUGUCACAGCUCUCUGCCCCUGACUGAGUGUGUGUGUGUGUCUGUAGAGUUUGUGUGUUUGCAGACAAUAUAUGCAUUUAUGGAGAUGACUAAUGUAUUCAUAUUACUUGAGUGCAGGUGUGUUUUCAUAUGCGUAUAUGAAGAGUUAGUGCUUGUGUGUGUAUGCAUGGCUUGGUAUGGAUACACUGUAUAAUGGUGGCGUGCAUCUGUGUGUGUGUGUGUGUGAGAGAGAGAUUGCACUCUUACAUUUGCAUUCAGUGAACCUGUGUGAGUGCAAAUGUUUGUCCUGGUGUAUUGUGUGUGUGUGCAUCUCUGUGAUGGUAUUAUGUGUUUGUGUUCCUGUGUAGAGUAUGUGCACGCCUAUUAUUCAUUCUCUUUAUUCAAAUAUGAGCGCAUGAUACUCUGUUGUGUUUUAGUGUGCGGUCUCUUGUCUUGACUGGGACCAGGUUAAGAAUAAAGUACAUGCAGAAAGUUUUCAAUAACAUCUCCUAGAGCUACGAAGUGUCAUGCAUUUUAGAGGAAAUAUGAACACCUGUUUAUGUGUAUGGUUGCUUUGAGUAAAACUGGACCAUUUUAAAGUUUAGUUUGGGGUCUUUAUUGUAGUUUAAAGUUUAAGUAUUUUGUCAUAUAUAUAAAUAUGUAUAUGCCGACAACACAUGGGCUUACACGUCACCAAAUAGAAGCUAUCUCAUCCUCUUUUCCAGGCUUUGAGACAAAAUUAGCAGCUUGAAACAUCAAAUUUAAUCCAGUUUUUUGCUCAUCCUGCUGCGUCUUUUAUUCCCUGACUUUUGGUGAGCGAUUUGGUGAGUAAGUUUCUCAGGUCAUCAUAUUUGACAUGGAUUCAGGGUUAAAAUUCUGUUUUAUUUACGCAUUUUGUUUCCUUAGUUUGAGCUCAGACAGAACAUUUUCAGACCACUUUUCAGCACUGAUUAUUCCUGUACAUGUUUGUCAUAUCCAAAGGUGAUCAUAUUCUGAAUCCCCAAAAUUUGGAGGAUUUUCGGGUCGGGUGAAGUGUUUUUUACACACUUCUAACUCCAGGUAGUCCACGGUACACAAACUGGACACAAACUUCCAUACAAAACCCGGAUAUUUGAAGGAUUUUAUAAACUUCCCCUGGACAGGCCGGACAGCCCCCAAACAGAGGACAUGUUCGGGUAAAAGAGGACGUAUGGUCACCCUAUCAUAUCCUCCUCCUCAAAAAUCAUUUCUUUAUUUAUAAAUCUUUAUUUAUAAAAUCAUUAUGGAGAAAAUGCCCAAAUAACACCCACAGCGAGGGAUAUUUUGGCUUUGCUGUUGAACGACAGGAGCGGUGCCAUCUGAACAGGAACGCCAACACCACAAAAGUGAGAGUAAAAAGUACUUUUAAGGGUUUUGGAUGUUAGUCAAAAAGUUUCCAAAACUCCUCCUGGGAUGCUCACACGCUGAGGCGAUAUCACCGUGUUUGAAAGUUGAUCUACUCCCUUUCUAAUCCUCCCCAACAGGGGAAUAUAUUCCUCUAUUUUCCUACGCAAAGCUCUUUGCAUUUAAACAUUUUGAGCUCAUUUGUCAACAUUUCAUGAAACCAGACUGACCUCACUUGCUCUUUCACUUACCUCUAUCUGCCUCCGUCCAUCACUCCGUUCCUCUCUCGCCUCCCAAAGUAUUCCAUUAUUCAACGAUUCACCUUUAGCACCUCUCCUCUCCCGCUGUCUCUGGCACUAAAUCUACUUUCAGACUUUAUUGUCCUUGAAAUUAGGUUUGCAGCAAAGUCCGCCACACAGAACAUACAAUAAACAAAAUCUACCGGAACAUAUGAGACACAGACGUUUAAGAUGAACCGUGGAACGAGAGGAAGAUUGACUGACCGGAGAGUCUGGGAGCCUCUGCCUCCUAUUUUCCUUUAUCUUCUCUCACAGAUGUCCAUCUAUCUCUCUCGCCUUUAUAACUCCUCUGGUCUGCACCUGUUCACUCAAUUUAAAAGUUCCACACGUAGAUAUACAACUACCAAAGUGUUUCUCCUUGUGCUGUGAGUCAAAGUUACUCCAUGAAAAUACUUGUGUAACAGUUUCUGUCAAACUCUGUCCAUGCAGACCUGACUAACCCUUCUUUGUUUCUGUCUUUUGCUUGAUUCAGAUCACCUGGACUUGGUGUUUCGACAGCAUGAAAGUCCAACUCCAGCGCUGCUCGCUCCGUCAUUUCCCCUGGUCUCAUCCCAGCCAUCAUAUUAGUCCUGGCUCUUGAUCUUCGUCAUGUCAAAGUAAGCGGUUUCCAACAUUUCUCUCUUUGGAGGGUUAGGGUUAGCAAAGUUUGGGUGUUUGUUGGGAAAGGAAGAACCGAGUGUUUGGGGAUGACUUUGCAGGGUAAGAAAAAUGAUUACCUUGUUCCUGUUGAGAGAGUUGAUAUGGUUCAGUAUGUGUAUACUGCUUUGGUUGGACAGACAGUUUCGGUACGGUACUUAUUGGGCUGGUUUUCUUGUUCUUUCUGUCAUUCUAAUGGCUCUUAUUCUGUGCAAUGACUCUUGACUUUAUAGAUGAACUUUUGAACAUCCAGGAUAGGAAAGGACAACAUUUCAGCACUUUUUAUGGCAAGCUUAGAAGUUUUUUUUUUUUACAUGAAAACAACAGAUAAAGUACUUAAAAGGAAGUUGGGACCUUUUCACACUGUCUGAGUUAGUACUUGAACUGUUUCACUGAAAACAGAAGAGGACCAAGAGUGUAGCCCUGAGGAACACCGUAAUAAUUUUGUGUAGAAGCUUGUUUUUUUCCAUCCGUCCUUUUUGAAAUGCAUAAUUUUGCACACUUAAGGAAGACAAGCUCAAGGUAGACUGGAUAAGGACAUGAUGGACCAAACCUAAAACCUCCAAAAUUGGGAACUCAUGACACCUUUUAUUUUUUUAUCUUGCCAGAAAUGAAGUUAAGCAGUGUGUUCUCUUCACAUAUUAGUCCACGGUUCCUUAUUUUUGGAAAUACCCACUUUUCUAUUUUAGAAAACAGUGUUUUAGAACUGUGGUAAAAGUUUAGAAACAUAAAUAUUUUUCCAUACUUAAUUUUUCAUUGUCCACACAUUUUAAGACCUGGAAACUGAUCACAUUUAUUUCUGUAUUUUUUCCUAUUUUCCAUCCUUGUGUCGAAACUCUGUUUGUCAUAAUCUAGGUCACUGAGAGAUUAAGGUCAAAGUCAGAAAAGGAUUUUUACAGGUUUGAAAAAAAAAAAAACACAUUUCGGAUUUAUCUAUUAAAAUUGUCCAAAUAUUCCAGACUGUCUAAACCAAAUUACAUAGUAAAACGUCCUGAAUUUGUCCUGGAAGAAGCAUAAAUGAGCCCGGCUUGUGCAAAAAUCCACAAACUUUUCUUCAAAUUGCGCCUUUUUUUUGUUUUUUAAGAUUUCUAUAUUCUACAACCCUUUGUUUUCUUUUAAAAAACAUAUUUCCUUAUUCAGAAAGCCUCAUUUUAACUGUCCAAAGAUAUAAUCUCUCCAACACUUUCUUCUUUUUCUUUUCCUGCGUUAAGUUCAGUCUCUGUUUUUCUUUCUUUCUCCUUCUCUCUCAUCUCAAACGUAAAUUAGAAAGAGUCCAUUAGAUUCCCCUAAAUGUACACCUACACACAUGCACACCCGCACAGAAAUGCAGACACAUGCCUGUUUCAGACCAUAAAUCGUUGUCUCCAUUAUAGCUCUGCCAAUAGCGCCUCCAUGCUGGCUGCACAGCUUCUUUAUGGUGCAGGUUUGAUGUAUACACGGGGCUUGAUCAGGCGGGCGGGGCUAGUGACAGAAUGAGGCUGGGAAAUGAGCGAGAGAGAGAGAAGAACACUGGACCGAUACCGAACACUGAAGAGACAUAAAGAGAGAGAGACAAAAAAUGUAAGAGACGACACAGCUGUCGGACAAUGUGCAAUCAAAACCUGAGUGGGUUGUUUUUCUGCAGACGCCCACAGACAGCGGCAAGUGACGUGUGAAUUUUCCAGUUUUUAUCCACGUCUGAUUGUUGUGUAUCUGUACUGUUUAUCUGGUGCACAAUCUUACAAUAUAAUAAUAAUAAUAAAAAUGAUGAUGCAGUUUGGGAUAAAUUUAUCACAGUUUUGCUUCAAUCCUUAAACAUUUCAGAUUUUUUAAAAUAUUUUUUUUCUGCAAAACUGAAACCUGAUAAAAGCCUGAUUCAUCACUUAAAGCUCCUGUGACGUUAAAUUCAUCCUGAUACUUGAACACGAUACUGAGAGUAAAGCGACUUAAAAGUCACCUAUAGGGUUGGGCACAAAUUAUACUGUGUACGGUGGGUCAACUUAAAUAUCCAACUAACUUUAGCCCGUGUACUUUUUCAUAGAAAAAUGAUCUGACAGCAAAAAUUCAAAGUUAAGUUCUUAAAAAGUUAAUUUAAUUUAAAAUUUCAUGGAAAAGUUCAGAAAUUUCAUCCAAAAAGAAGAACUCUGGUUAGCGCCCUCAUUUAAACCAUGCAUUAUUCUUUUAAUAGAGAAUAUUUAGGAAUCGGAAUUGAAAUGAAGAAUCGGAAUCAGAUCCGGAAUCGUUCAAAAUCAAACGAUACCCAACCCUAGCCACCUAUAACUGUGAUGUGUGCGUACUGUUGCUGUGCGUUCAGAGAAGUACAGUUUGUUGUUGUGGUUUCUAACCUUCAUCCCACGGCUGAGCUCAGCGUUUUCACCGUCUUUAUCUCUUGUAGUGCCAUUAAGCAGCUGUCCUGUAGCCUUAUGGCUUUAGGUGUGACAUUAUAAAGAAUAAUGGCGCUCUAAAAUAUAACAUGUUCAGCUGCUUGUAAAAGACUGCAGUUUACAACCGCUGCAAAACUUUACCCGCUUUUUUCUUCUUCUUUAUUUCAGGAGAAGUUUUAAUAACUCGACUCUUUUGUUUUAAGCAGAGAAAUUUAAUUGUUUGUAUAAUGUUGGUAUAAUAAAAGUGAAAAUAAUAAUAAAUGUGAGAGCUCCUCUUAACAACAGCAGAGGCAGAGAGAAGCCCGUCCUCCCUCUGGGCUGCCUUGAAGCUCUAAGCCUGUCGUAAAUGCUAUUCUAAUGUGUGUGUAUUGUAUAGGUGUGUGUGUGCGGCUGCUGCAGUACUGUCAAUAAGUGCUUGAUGGCUGAGCCUGUGACUGCCUCUCUCUCUCUCUCUCUCUCUCUCUCUCUCUCUCUCUCUCUCUCUCUCUCUCUCUCUCUCUCUCUCUGCAGCACAGAGGAGAUGGAUGGUGAAAGAGCCGGGCCCCUCAGCCACUUUUAUCUCCCCUUUUCCUCUCCUCCAUCACUCUGUCCUGAAUCUUCUGCCAUUUUCCCCCUCUGGUCUCCCUCCUCUCUCUCUUUCUCUCUUUUAAACUUUUUUUUCUGUGAAUGGAUGUUUUCCAUUUCCCUCCCCUGCAGACACUCUUUGUAUAUACAGUCCUUUACGUCUCUGUGAGCUCUCGCUUCGCUCCUCUUCAGCUUUAAAAAUACCGUUUAGGCUGGAAGUCUACAAAUCUCUCUGCUUAUCUGCCUCUGUUGUUUUCUGCUCUCUCUCUCUCUGUGCAUUGUGUAUUUUUUAGGGCUGUUUACUCUCUAACAGAAUUUUCUAUGAGCCCUUACUGUGGAAACAAGGUCACUGCCGUUGUUUUGAAAGGUGUACAUUUUAAUAUCUGCUGUAUUUGAUGUCUACCUUGAAACACUUCACCUUUCCUGUCUCUUAUUUUUAUGUUUUAUUAAUAAUAUUUGUAUAAUUCCUCCUGUUCUGGAUCACUGUUUAAUUCAGGUGACGACACAGAAAACUGAUGAAAGUAAAAGCAACACUUUUUAAAGUUUUCGUUAGGGCUGUCCUGAUACAAUUUUUUUUACUUCCGAUACCAUACCGAUAUUGUAGCCUUCAGUAUCGGCCAAUACCGAUAUUGAUCCGAUAAAUAUCCAUUAAAUAAAAUUUACUCAACUGCAGAUAGUGCAACCUUUGGUCUCCUGAACCUAAACAGAAGUGAUUUAAAAAGGGACGUGUACACGACUGUCCCACUGCGCUCACGACAAUUGCACACUUCGAGAGAGACUUUAGGACAAAAGUGCGAUCAAAAAUCUUCAAGAUUACUAGAUUAAAGAGAAGCUAGUGCAGUUUGUGAUUGCCAAUUCAUUCAUGCAUAUUUACCCAAUUCAAAGCAGAUUGAAGUGGACCAUACUGGAGGUUGGUUUUUAUUUGUUUUUCAAACUGGUUCAACGUGGCAUUCGAGUUUUCUAGCAGGUGCCAGAUUAACUGACUGAGAAUUUAAAGAGUAAAAUCCAAUAAACUUAUGUGCACAACAGCAGAGAUGAUAAAUGUGAGCAUUUUUAAAACUCAAACAUUGGUUUUGGUGUAAGUGUAGACGACAUAAAGACUAAUAAACCUGUACCUUUAAUUUGAAGGUCUCAUUUUUCCAUUUAAUCCUAGUCCAGCCUCUGUGGACCAAUAACCACCCUCCCUUAAAUUAGGUACAAAGACAGCCAGCUUUUGGACAGGGGGACAAUGACCACCAACCUUUCAAUUAGGAGAUUAUGACAGCCAACCAGUCUGUUAGGAGACAAUAUCAGCCAAGCUGUCAAACAAAGAACGACGGCCAACCUUUUGGCUGGACGAGAAAGGACGCCAACGUUUGAUGAAGAGCUGACAACUGCCAACAUUUUCAACCAGGAGACAAAGACCACGAAACUCUCUACCUGGAGACAUCCAUCCAUCUGCUACUGCUUCUCUGGAGUCGGGUUGCAGGGGCUAGUGAAGACAGUGACCACUGAUCUUUUGGACUGGGAGAUGAUGACCCCCAAACCUUGGAGACAACGACUGCCAACCCUUUGACUGAGUCCUGGUCUUCUCAUACCUUUAGAUGGUGGACAGUGACUGCUAACCUUUAGAUUUAGAGACAUGGACUUUGGGAUGGGGGUGUCAGCCUUUAGUUUGGAGAUGUUGGCUGCUAACCUCUUUACUGGAUUUGUGUUAAGUCCACCUCUGAGUCAACCCUGAUGAGCCCAGGAAGAAUCACGUGUCAGCCAAGCGAGAGGGAAGUGGAGAUAAACAGAGAAAUAAAGGAAAGCUUUAUAGUUUCCACAAAGUCUUGAUUCCCACAACAUCCUGAGAAAUAUGUCUUCAUUGGGCUCAUUGUACUGCGACAAAGCUAUCUCAAACCCUACAAUGAAAUGGCAGCAGACUCUUUAUUGAAGGGUAUUCCAGAUGGUAUGACAGUCAAACAGAGACCUCAGGCUGGGCCUGUUGUGUAAUUAGUGAGAAUGCUGCCUGCAAGAGAGCAAUGAAAAACAAAAAGCAGCCAUCUGAAUGAAACCACAAUGAAACUGAGAGCCGUUUCAUGGUUCUUCUGAUUGCCUGGCUUUCACUGGUGAUAUACAGCGCAAUUACACAGUCUCACACCGAGUUGGCGGGCGGGUGGGCGGGCGGGUUGUGGGUCGAGUGGGAGUUUGAAUACUAAAACCAUUGAUGGUUUAAUAGCCACCGGCUAGUUUUGGCUCCAGUUCAGAAAAUGUGAAGUCUGAGCUAAUCAGAGCUGAUGGUCUCCUGCGGUUUCUAAAGACAGUUCAUAAUCUGCCGUUAGAGCGGACUCUCACAGAUUCUAAAUAUUGUAUUAUUAUAUUCUCUGUAUGCAGCGCAGCUACAGGCCAAAGCUCCCACCGAUCUCCCUGAAUAUUUCAUUUCUCUCUAAACUCAGAUAAACUGGGUCUUUAUCUCCGCUCCAGCUUUGGGUUAAACUCAGAGUCAUGAAAUUUCGUGGGAUAAAAGGCCUUGAAAGGCUGCUCAUGUGAUGUGGGUUUGAAUGAGGUUUUCACUCUUUUCCACGAAACGACAAUACCAGAUGGGACUAUGAUGGGGGUGUUAGCUGAGCUAUACAACCUGCUUGUAAUCCUACUACACACAUGAGAUUAACUUUAGCUCAGAUUUAGGCAUCUUAGGUCAGCUUACACUUAAAAUAAGGUAAACAGCAAUGAAGACCAGGUUUGAAGUCCUGAUCCAAGUCCUUCAUAGGCGUUGAGGAUGACCUCAAUGGCAUCAGAGGAAGUAUGUUUGAUAUGUAAACUAAUUUCAGAUUUUAUGAGGAAUUUUGGAGAAAUAGUAGGUGAUUUCUGGAUAUGUAAAAGAGGUUCUAGUGGACAGCUAAAGGUUACCUAACUAACUUGUUACCUUGAUGUGGGGGAAGUCUCAGAAAAUCCCAGGAACCAACCAACCAUUGGGAUUCAGGUUUUAAGCCAUGGCUACUUUGCAACUCUUGUCCUUGGUUAGUCUUCUAUAAAUGAAGACAUAAAUUAGAGAGUUCUUGAACACGCUGGAAUAGAAACAACAAAACUCUAAAACAGUUGAGAAUGAAAAGAGAAACCACCUGGAGGAACACCUCCCAACUAACAGGGUAAUUUCCAACAGGUUAGUAACAAACGGGGCGUCCAAGUCUCUCAGAAUGGGAAGUGUGAAGUGGUCACCGAUUUGUGUGAGACUGCAUGUGGAAAAAAUCCAACGGUUCCUUUACAAACCUACGUCCAGAGAAGAUGGUGAAAACAUCUUUUCAUAACUACCAUCAUAGUUAUUUAGUCGAGGUGCUCCACUCUGGUCCUCUGAAACAAAUAAGGUAUUUGUUAUAAAAUCUCAGAUCUGGGUGGAAGUUUACUGCAAAUUCUGACCAAACCAAACGCCUAAUACGGUGGUCUUUUCUUCUACAUCUUUAUUCUUCUGCAGUAAAUUUUCCUUUUAAAGAAUUUGAUGGCAUCUGCAGCAUGAUUGUACAUACCACAUUCUGUUGGUUGCUGUUAUAUUUUCAAGCUUGUUUUAUUUGAAGGAAAUCUGCAUGUUGUACAAGUUUUAUGGAGAAAAUUCAGUCUCUAAAUUUAAAUUCAGUGGGACUGACUUUUUCUUACCCUGAGUGAAUGAGCAGCUUCCAGGAUUCAGUUGAACUUCAUCGUUUUUGUUUUGUUUUCUUGAGUUUUUCCACUGAUCUGUUGAGUGUUUUUCUGUCUGCCACACUUUCAUGUUAUCUCUCCCUCCUUUUUUCUCCAUUAUCUUUCAUCCACACCUCAGUUUUCUGGUCUCUCACCACUGGUGCUUGUCUUGUGUUGUAUUACCAGGAUGUUUGGCUCUGGUGGCCAUGAGACAGCAGAGAGAGAGAGAAACCAAAGGAGGCCACCGAAGUGCGUGAGUCUCCAGAUGGAAGUUUUCUUGCUGCUUUGAUCAUCCAUUUGUCUUUGGAGCGAUUUAUCCACAGUGUGGGUGUGAAAGUAAUGUCAGCACAGAGUGAUUAAUGCUGCAAAAUGUUUCCCUAAUGUGAGGAGGAACGGAGCCGGUGGGUGAAUUACAAUAUGUUUUCAGAGGAGGAAAUAGAACGUCGAGAUCUCAGAGCCAGAAGAGCAGUUUUUAUCAUACAGAGAGACAGGAGUGGAGGAACAGUUCGGGAUGGCCCUGUAGUAAAUAAAACACCAUAAACACCAUAAAUAUCCUCGCUGGUGCUCUUCCCCUGGAAAAUUCAUAACAAUGUUCCCCCUGAUAUCCCACCAACAUGCUAAGAGUGCCGUCUAAAAGCCCUAUGAGUGUAUAAAACAUAAGAAGACUUUUAAUGCCUUUUCAUAUUAUUGAAAAUAUAAAGAAAUGCUCUUUUAAGCCUUUUAACAUGCAAAAGUGUCCCCCCAAACUUACAGUAUGAAACUGUGGAAAAAGGACCCUGUAAACUGUUACACCCCUGCACAGCGAGCUGCAAGGGGAGAAAUAGGAAGAAAGACAAACGCGCUGUUGCUGGCUUUCAGUCCACAGUGUAAUGAACUGUAAAGAUUAGCAUCAGCAGUUCGGACAAACACAAGAUAAACUCUCUAAACCGAUUCUACAUAUAACCCCCCAUCACAUACAUUUAUAUAUAUAUUAAAACAAAACCACAUGAACAGUUUUGUGUAUGUUUUUUGUACUUUUCUUACCUGUAAGGGUAGAAAUAGAAAGAAAGACAAACGAACUGUUGCUAGAUUUUAUUCCACGGUGUAAUGAAGAGUCGCAAGCAACAUGCUCCCCCUGCUGGCUAAAACCGGAAGUGUCUGACACUAUCAAAACCAAUUACCAAUAUAAACUUACACUUUACUAUUUAACACACUUUAAAGAUGAAUUUAAACCGUCAACAAUACAAACUCUUUUUCUGUUUAUGCCGUUUUUACUGUUUUUAACAUUGUUCCACCUUUUAAGUUCAAUAUCACUCAUAUCCAUUACAUACCUGCUCAGCUGGGUGGAUGACAUGAAAAGAAAUGAGGCAGCCGGCAUAAGGACUAAUACUAUGAACUCACUAUUUUCUUAUUUUGACGCAAUUUCAAUAUCACAUUUAAAAAAAAAAUUGAUGGUUAUCGUCUUCAUCGGUCUAUAGCGACAAACCUAAUACAACAAAAGUAAAACCUUUUUCUUACACUUUGCAAAUCCCUGAACUACAAUCUUUCAACUUCUCUGUCUCUUAUCGUCAUCGCAGGGUUAAUUAAACUCACUUUGAAAGGAUGAGCUGUUGCAUAUUUAACAACACUAACUUGAGAAAAGAGCCUUGUACAAGACAUUGACACUAGACGUCUGCUUAGUCAUACCUGAAAUGCUAAUAAAAAUCUGCAGUAAUUAGACAAAAUCUUGAGCUCAACCUGUCCUCUGCUCCUCAGACUGUGGGAAGGGUCUCUGCUCUGUCCUGGGGAGUGGGUCUCCGUACAUGCAGAAGGCGUCCUCUCCUCACAGCUCUGCUCCGUUGCCAGUUAUCCGAUCGAUAGCAUCACUUAACUCCUCUCUGAGGUGCUGUGAACCGGUGUCGCCGACCCGCCUGAGCUGCAAACCACAUUAACUAAUAAACUGCAAACCUUCUAGAGGCGCAUUUCCAAUACUUUGGCAAAACAGGACCUGUGGAAAGACUUCAUAGCUCAUGAGGACACAUCAGUGUGCAGAGGUAAGACUCUAAAUACUGCACAGCUAUAGCAACAAGGGAGUCAACAUAGACAGUAAAAAAAGACGCUUCAUCUGAGUCUAACUCUGUAAAGGAGUCUCCCAGGUUGAUGAAUUCAGACGAAUUUGUAAUUCACGUAUUUUAGCACUUCUGUCAAAGUCUUUUUCGGUGGUGAAAGUGAAUCAUUAAUUUUGUUUGUGUGAAGACAACAUAAAGCUUAAAAAAAGCACUCGAAAUAAUCGAAAUUGAGAAGAGUUUAUUUAAAAUGACUGAACACUGAGCGUUGCUAACACUAGCAGAGCUAGCACCACCAGAUUUUGGUCCUUCCUGCAGGUGAACAUCCACCUGCCUGUGCUGGUUACACUUUGCUCCAAUCAAGUGGCAAUACUUGAGUUUAACCCAAAAAAACCUUACUGACAGAUCCCUUUGAGCCACAUUUGUCAUCUGUGUUCAUUUACAUCCAGGUAGUUGAGGAUUGUAGCUUUGGGCCUAAAGUAAUAAAAGUACUCAUGUUUGGUGAACCAAUUGGUCUUUCUAAUGCUGACAUGCAAAGGUUUGCACAUGUCCGACUUGAAGUGGCAUUUUUAGACAUCAUAGAAAGGCUCUGGUCAGCUUUCAGACAGUCUCUGGUACUUUAAACAUCCCUUAAAAUCAGAAGAGUAGAAGAUAUGGAAACGUCUCCCUGUGAAAACGAAGACAAAAAAGUGGACUAGGUUGUUCUGAGGUUUCCCAAAUGGGCCACACCAUGAUCGCUCCUCCUCCUCCUCCUCCUCCUCCUCCCCCUCCACUGUUCUCGAGGCCAGCGGGCGGAGGGAGCGGUGACUCUCGGUGGUAAAAGGUGAUUUAUACACUGCGUAGGAUGCAGUCACUGGCAGGAUCGCUGAGGCAAGGGCAGAGGAGGGAGGAGGAGGAGAUAGAAGAAGAGAGAAGAGAAGAAAACGGGUGAAGAGAAAAACAGGAUGAUACAGAUAUACUCAAAUCAGACUACCAGAAAUAAAGAGGAAGGAUGAAUGAAUAAAAGCAUGGAGUUAGAGGAGAUAAUGAUAAAGGAGGGAUAACAAGGGAGAGAGUGAGGAGAUGUUGCAAGGCGAGGUCAGAGGAGGAAGAGGAGGAGGUAUAAAACGGAGGAAACGCAGAGAGAGAGAGGAAGAGGAAAGCAGGAGUGACAGAAGGGACCUCCAGAGGAAAAUGAUGGGAGGUCAGGACGGGACAUGAGAGGGGAGGGCAGUGAAGAUGGGAGGAUGGAGGAGGAAGAGGGGGGAGAUGGAGAGAGGUGUUGUGGAGAGCAGAGAGAGGACAGGUGCUGCUUUCAAAUGAAUGUGUUACUAAAGCAGAGCUGACAGGAUCCAGCAGGACGUUUCUCCAGAGGUGAAUCUAUUACGGGCAGAAAUAUGUCACCAGAAACCCAAUUUAAAUCUCCCUUUCUCUGUUUUAAUCCUUAUAUAUGUUAAAAAAAAAUACAUGUAUAAAAAUAGAACUUGUUGAAAUGAUUUGUAUUGAAAAUCUGUUUACAAUUAUUUGGACUGAGAGCUGCAUAACAAUCAAGCAGAAACAGAAAUUUAAUUCACUUGCUCUGCAUUAGAGGUUGAGGAAAUUCAACUCUGCACGCCUGCACAGUCACAUUAGCAAUUCAAUAUAACAGACUGACAUAGAAAAAAAGACAACUUUAUUUAAAAAGCACAUUUAAAAACAGCAGCAUGGAUCAGCUGAUGAACAACCUCAUCAAGAAACAAUGUAAACAUUACAGACACGGUUGAAAUAAUACAAUAAAUUUGUUGUGUUGUACGUAGAGGAAUUAGAUCAACUUAGAAAUGCAGAAAUUUAAAGCUAAUUAAGUUUCAUUUUAUUAAGAGUAUGAUUCAAGGCUGGACUCAGGGUCAACAGAGUGGGAUGGUCUGAAGUAGGAGUGUGAUAAAAUAUCAAUAUGGCAAACUACUGUGAUAUUUAACAUAACGAUGGAUUAUUGAUGCACGCUCGCUGCGUAUAAUUUUUUUUUGUAUUAUCAUUAAACCACAGUGAUUCAAGUCACCGUAUUACAUGUCAUCCAGGAGGCGCUCCUGGUGUGAGUGAGUGAAUAUUGGGCCGAAGUCAGAAAAAACAAACAGAGAAAAUAUGGCGGACUCUGGGAGCGGUGAAGUUAGACUGAAGGAUGCACCGGCUUUGUCUAAAUCAAGAGUAUGGACACACUUUGGCCUUUAUAGUGUGGACGGGACUAAGCUGGAAAAGCACUCUGCAGUAUGCAAGAAGCAUCUCUCAAAAAUUUGUGACACAGACGAACGAACAUGUCCAGCCUCCUCGUUCACCGCCGUCCUGAGCUUGCAGAGAAAACUGUACCUGUUAGCUCCUCGGUACAGCUAACUUUUGACUCUUUCUUUCAGACAGAGCUUCUUUUUAGUUCAACCAGAGCUACAGCAAUUGCACAUAUCAUUUCUGUGUAUAUUUGUAAGGACCUUUUUCUGUACAGCAUUGUGGAAAAUGAGAGGUUUUGCUUCAUGAUGGGGGUACUCGAGCCAAGAUACGAGUUACCCAGCCGUAAAAAACUAUGCUCACUGAAAAAACUAUGCUGCAAAUUAUAAACCAUGAAAUGUAUUUUAUUUUUCUUUCACCCUUAUAAAUACACAGAUGUAUCAUAGGUUAUGUAUUGAUAAUCGCAGUCUCGCCAUAUCGAGAUAUUAUCGUUAUCGUGAGCCAUGUAUCGCGUAUCAUAUCUUGAGGUACCCUGAGAUUCCCAGCCCUAUUCUGAAGGGUAAAAGACUGUAGAGUCUGUGAGUCUCUCUCUCUCUUCUCUAAACCCAGUUCAGUCUCAGCAGAUGACGGCCUAACAUCAGUCUGGUCCUCCUCGAGGUUUCUGCCUGGUAAAGGAAGUUCUUCUUCGCCGCUUUAACUUGAUAAACACUUAUUUUUUUUCACUCAUGUGGUUGGAGAUGGGAUGGCAGUGAGUUGAGAUAACACUUGUUGUGAGUUGGCGCUUUAUAAGUAAAGAUUAAUCGAUUUGUUGAUUGACCUCUAAGUUUGAGGUCACAGAGGUUUAUUUAUGAAGCUCAUUUUGGCAGAAAGGCAGUCCACACAAAGGUCGAAAAAACAUACCAGGCAAUAAAAAUUGAGGAAAACUUCCAGUGAAAAUAAUAAAAGACGGUUCAAAAAUACUGUGAAGUGUUGUCGUAUCAAAAUACUUGAGUAACCCAGCUUUGAGUCAGAGACUGCUCUAUCUGAGGACAACUGUAGCCUAGCCAUACACUUCCUAGUCAUGUGUAACUUAUACAACCCUCUUUAAAAAUGCAGAACUAUCCCUUUAAUCAGAUUUGGCCUGAUGACAGACAGUCACAAAUCUGCAGAGUAGAAGAGGUCGGCGGUAGAGGAUGAAUUUUAGUGAAUCACACAUUCGUAUCAAAAAUGCCAAAGGGAGUUUAUUGGAAAGUCUAAAAAGUCGACGUCAGGAUAGACGAAAUCUUUGAUCUCUGUCUGGAUUUUCAGGAUGCGCUCCUCUCUCUCAGGCUGCUGCCAGAAAUCGAUGUCAAAUGAUUUAUAACUUUCCCCACAAUAACGCGAGUGGAUGCGUUUCCAAAUAUUGCCUGCUUGAGCUUUUGCAUUAUCACUUUAAAAGUUCAGAAAACUAUUACCCAGACCUGACAUUAAUUAACUUCCAGAGUCUGCACUCGCCUGUGAAGCUGCAUUAAUACAGCAUGAGGUAAACUCCGUGUUCUCACUUCUCCAAAGAGACCAUUAAGACUUCACACACUCCAGCAGACCCACACACCUCACACAUUAGACGUGACAAGCUAGCGCCCCAGCAAUGGCAAUCAAUGGACUCCUAAACUUUGGACUCAAUGCCGCAUACGUAAUGAGAAAAAUAAAUUUCCCCCCUGUGCAUGGGCUGGAGUGCUGCAGUAAGCUGUUUCAGGACAGCGCUCACUCUGACCUAUCCACAUAAAGUCCAGAGGCAGACAUAAAUAACGGGCCGGCGUGUUGAAGAGGACGGCUAUUGAUUACUGAGAGAGGCUGGAUGACACCGGAGCCAGAGAGGGGCUGAGCUUUGGUAUCUUUGGAAUGAAGGCGCUGUGAGAAACAUGUUUGUAGGAAGUGACGAUCAGGUAACAUACAGCGUUGAAUGCAUGACUGAAAAUUAACAUCUAUGUGUCUGGGAUGUUGAAGAAUCUGUCAGCGCCUCUAAUGUGGAAACGAUUAAAAUCAUGAAAUAACCUGACUAACUAACAAGACAACAUUAGAGAGCGUUUGAAGUCCUCUGCAUCAUCCCAGUCCACAUAAUCCAAGAUCAGGUCCAAGCUCCUUAGCUCUUGUCUUCUCCUGCAAAGAUCUCAUCUAAAACUGGAGUAUUGUUAAAGGUGAGGUAAAACGGAGGUAGACCGGACAAGAGCUAAAAAGCCGGGUCAACAUAAACGAUGGGGGACGCUUGGGGAUCUUGGUGACCCUGUAACCUUUCUGCUGGACAGGUAAACCGCUUUAACAAAGUAAGACAAGUGUCUGUAACAGAAGUGUUUCUUGUCAAACGAAGUCAUUUUUUAAUUUGCAUAUUUAUCUUAUCAUUAACUCUAAAAUAUUUAUCUUAAGUUAGAGAAAACUCCCGUCACGUCUGGAUCCCACUGCUCACACAGGCGGUGUUGUAGUGAAACAUAUUUCCGUGUAUUUACCUUGUGGACCAAUCAUGUGAAAGCAGAGACUCUUAUACUGUAUGUUGAAUAAAAAAGAGCUUCUCAGUUACUGAGACCGUCCAGCCCAGUAUGUGUAUUUUUAUUGAAACACCUGACUCUGUCAGACCGCCCACAUAACGGAACCAAACUUGGAUUUAUGAAGCUUCUCUAAGAGCUUUUAGUUUCUGUUUGCCAUCAUCUGCUGAUGUGGUCUUCAUGUCACCUCAGUCCCCACUGACUCCACUUAUACUGUUCCUGGAAGCUGCCAACACAUUCAGGCAGGCAAAGGGAAACAAAUGAUCCCAUGGAUGUGCAUGUAUAUAUACAGUAAGCACACACAGUAUAUAUACUCACAAAUACAGCUCACACCAACCGAUCACACAGCCUCUCUCUGGGGAUGCAGACCUGUCUCUUUCUGAAGCCCCAGAGACGUCAAUGUCAGCACAUGCAGUGACCAGGUUAUUCUCGGCUUGUUCUAUAUACACUUUGACAUCACAUGUAAUAUUCAGCAGUCCACUAUAGCCUACACACGCACAGUAUUUGACUCUACCUGCACCCUAUACAUGAUCCGAUCCUAUCGACACAAACAUGUUAGUCAACCAUGGGGAGAGCUGCUGUGAUUAUUUCUUCUUAAAGGGAUAUUAAUUUAGGGUCAAACACACCGUAACACCGAGUUAGACACCCCGACGAGAGAUGAAUGUUGCCGACCACUUGCUUCUCUAGUUAUACCAACUUUAGUAACGACCACAGGAUAGCAAUACAGAGAGCCACGCGCUCAACCAAAACGCCACUCUACAGCCACAAAUAAUGCUCAGAACAGCACCUAACUUCAUCAACAGGACAUAUAGGGUCACAGACAUAGUACUAGACACCAAACAUCUUUUUAGCUUUGACUCAUUUCUUUAGCAAAGAGACUAAACACAACUCACCUUCUCUCUUCCAGCAGCCAAGAGACCUCAGGUCAGUCCAUUACGGACUACAGCGGGGUGAUGCAGCUCAAGGAAGAACAUUUAUGAUCAAUAAUCAACAAAUUAAUCAUUUUGAACUGCAGACGCAGUCGUUUUUCUGCCUUAGCGUCUCGGUCUGAUUGUAUUUCCAUAAAGAAAUGAUCAUAAAUGUUCUUCCUUGAGCUGCGGCACCCCACUGUAACCCUAACUUAAUUCUAUGCCGGAAUAUCCCUUUAAAGUCGACCAUGGGAAGAGCUGCUGGUAUUUUUACGUCUUAAACAAGUGGAUACGUUUUUUAAGAUGUGCGGAUUUUCUGUGAUUCCUGAAUCGUUUCCUCCAAUCAAAAGUUCUGUCCGUCCAUUUUUGCCUGAAUUUGUUGUUUGGUUUGUUGGUUUGGGUUCGAACUUCCUCCCUGAAGAGUUUCUAAUGUUGCUGCUGUUGCUGUGAUCAGGGUGGUUGUGCACAUGUACGAAGUGUCUGGUCUGGUUUACGCCUCUGCAUUGGAUUUAUCCUGUAGUAUUCAUGACCCAAACAUUCAGAUUCUGCUGCCAAAUGUGCACACGCUCCGAGCCAAGAGUUGAGUUCUGGACCUGCACAUCCUGAGCGGGAACAUUUUUGCUCUCGUUGAGUUUUUUGUGCAGAAAAGUCAAACAUGUACAGUUUAUCUCUCACUUUUCAAACAUGUGUGAAUUUAUUGAAGCAAACAAGAUGUCAGUAAUGCAAGAGCGCCUCUGAUUGGUGACUUCUCCCGGUGACACGAUGCAGGUACUGAGGGGGUGAAUGAUGCAUAAUGAAGUGACAACAAAGCCAAACACUGAAGCCUGAUCACUUCCUCCUCUGCAGAGAACAGGAUCUUUUAAUAAAGCGCCGUGACAGAGAACUGCAAACAGACAUUUGUCACAGCAGAUGCAUCGAGCUGAGAUGAAGUCGUAGCAGAAACGCCGCCGUACCGUGGUUUGUCCUCAGCCAAGGGGUCACAGAGGUGGAACGUGCAACGUGCAAUAUGUUGAAGUCACUUUCGAACAAAGUCGAUGGAUGGUUGGUCCAAAGCUCCAGCUGGCUGCCAGGGUGGAGCACAGCUGCAGAGAGGUUGUUUAGCCCCAACAAAACCAUUUGUGACAGGUUAAAUUGUGAAAGCGUUUGUCUGCCUGGCCGCACAAGCAUUUAUUGAGUGUGGAAUGAGUUUUUGCACAGCGCUUGUGUGUGUGUGUGCAUUUGUGUGUGUGUGUGUGUGACCUCUGGUCGUAGAUUAAGGUCAUAGCCUCUCUGUCAGGCAGCACAACAUGAGUAAUGUUUUAAUGCGAACUUAUUAGGCCCUCUGUGCUUUUAUGGACAGUGCGAGGCUGCAGAUGGAGAGGUCAUUUUUCACCCUCAAUGACUCGACCUCGGACUUGAACUCGUGUUACUGCCUGGUCAGUCUGUAAUCACCCAAAUGACAAAAUAAAAGAUGAGGAAAGUGCCUGCUCAUAACUCUGACUGUGUUUAUUAUUUUGGUCCGUUAAUAGUCGCGUUAAAGACCAUUUUAUCAUGUUUUAUGUUUAUUCCGUUUGUGUGUUUCGCAGAAGAAAGAUUCAAAAACAUCCAUGUAAAUCUUGCACAUUACUUAUGCAAUGCAACUUUAUUCUUUUUGCACUUGGAGGCAGUUGAAACAAAAGGCUUUAGAUCUCUGAUUCAGCUCCAUAUUUCAUCCGUGUUUACCUGCUUAUUGUGAGAGAAAAUACCAGAAUUGUUAAAAUACCUUAAUUUCAUUUCUUCUGUGAUCUUGAAGACACAAUUUACCACAAAAAACCACCUGGCCUUGACUUCGAUGUUUUAUAUGAGACAUUUAAAGUUGAGUUUAAGGACCAGGUACGAAAGCAGAGAAGUGUGUUUAUUGAAUUUUGUCGCAGUGUUACAUUGAGGACGUCUUAUUUGUGUGUCUCAUGUAGCGGCUGCUUUGGGUCUAAUGACAAACCCUUCCCCUGAGGAACUUCUAAAGUCACAGAGAAACAACUAAAUGAGCAGAGAUGGAUCAGACCUGACUGUACAGAGCCCGGCACGGUGACUCUGCACUCUUACGAGACGGUCCUGGAGCUGCUGCAGGUCGCCCUGAGCUGUGCAUUUGUCUUUUUAAGGCUUUUCAGCGGGGAACCAAAUGAGAAAUCUGGUUUUUACCCUGAGACCCUGCAGAAGACAUUUAGCUGUGCCUGAGGCCGCUGCUUCAUGAGAACAUAUUAUUACUUUAUCAUCUGGAGAGUCAUCACAGACACUCCAUUUCCUCCCACAGCUUUGUUUUUGGACAGAUUUGGCGUAUUAAAAGUUUGACUGUAGCCCCGGAGAUGUCGUCUGCCUCUAACAUUAAGAAAGUUUACUUCCUGUUACUGGGUAACUCCACAGGGUGCUCGUGUCUGAACGUGAAGAAAAGGAUCAAAAGCUGCAUUUUCCAUCAGCGCAAACAAAUCUGUCUUGAUCCCUGUAAUCUGCAGUUGAUGUUGGAGAGUUGGAGCGCAGAUCUUAUUUAUUCAGUCGAACCUUUUACUCUGAAGGAGGCUGUUUUUCCGGUCUGAAUCUGAGCUCUUUUCCUCAACAUUUCUACUUGUAGACACUUUUAUACCGUCAUACCGCCCAACUCUAGUCUGGAUGGUCUUUUUCCUCUGUAUGUCCAGGAUUUACAAAAACAGUUAGAAAUGUGGACUUGUCAGUCCGUCUCAGAGGCUGUUGUUAAAAUCUGGUUUUGUUUUUGCAUCCUUGAGUUUGAACUUGUAGAUGUAGGGACCAACUGUUUUAAUGCAGUGUCACCUGAGGGGUCAAAGGUCACAGGCCCUCAGUGUUGGUUUGGGUCUUGCUGCUUACAUGCAGAGAUUUCUCUGAAUCUUUUGACGCUAUGCUGGACUGUAGAUGAUCAGAUCACUGAAUUCCUCAAACGUUGUUAAACUGUUGGACUGUUUGCUCACGCAGUUGUUGACAAAGUGGUGAACCGGGCCCCGUCCUCGCUUGUGAAGCUCCUUUUAUACCCGAUCAUGACUCUCACCUGUUUAAACGUGUUCACCUGUAGAAUGAUCCAAACAGGUGUUUUUGGAGCUGCCCUCAAUUCUCCCAGACUUCUGUUGACACCUUUUUUGGGAUCGUGUUACAGCCAUCAAAUUCAAAAAGAAUGAAUACUUAAAAAAAACUCAACUUAAUCAGUUUGAACAUUAAAUAUUAUGUCUUUGUCGUGUUAUUGGAUAUAAGAAGACAAAGAUUAGCAAAUCAUUGUAUUCUGGUUUCAUUCACAUUGUACUCAAACUUCACUGGAAUUGGGGUUUGUACUAAAUCCUGUCCCAGUGUAUCAUAUAGGCUUUAAAUUUUGUUUAUAUUUUAAAAGUAAAGUCUGUCUUUAAAACUCUUUCCAGACCUUGUGUUUGUAUCUUAUUCUGAAACAUCUUCUCCUGUUCAGACAUUACUGCUGAUCACUGCUGUGUUUUACCACCGAACUCUAUCCUCCAGAUGACUUUUUCAACCUCAUGAUUUCAACGACUAAUCGCCGCGCACGUGUCCAAAAAUUGACGGGGAUGAGAUGGUCUCUCAUCCUCCACCUCCACCUGACAGGAGC